CGCCUCUAAGUCAGAAUC
RNAcentral lists this non-coding RNA (18 nucleotides) under Arabidopsis thaliana (thale cress). RNAcentral also lists the same sequence under 1 other name. The record is from RNAcentral. Lineage: Eukaryota; Viridiplantae; Streptophyta; Magnoliopsida; Brassicales; Brassicaceae.